CCUACGGGAGGCAGCAGUGGGGAAUAUUGGGCAAUGGAGGAAACUCUGACCCAGCGACGCCGCGUGAGGGAUGAAGGCCUUCGGGUUGUAAACCUCUUUCAGUAGGGAAGAAGCGAAAGUGACGGUACCUACAGAAGAAGCACCGGCUAACUAUGUGCCAGCAGCCGCGGUAAUACAUAGGGUGCAAGCGUUGUCCGGAAUUAUUGGGCGUAAAGAGCUCGUAGGUGGUUCGAUACGUCGGAUGUGAAAAUCAGGGGCUCAACCCCUGACCUGCAUCCGAUACGGUCGAGCUAGAGUUUGGUAGGGGAGACUGGAAUUCCUGGUGUAGCGGUGGAAUGCGCAGAUAUCAGGAGGAACACCGAUGGCGAAGGCAGGUCUCUGGGCCAAUACUGACACUGAGGAGCGAAAGCGUGGGGAGCGAACAGGAUUAGAUACCCUGGUAGUCCACGCCGUAAACGGUGGGCGCUAGUUGUGCGAACCUUCCACGGUUUGUGCGACGCAGCUACGCAUAGCGCCCGCCGUCGGGAGUACGANCGCAGAAUAAACUACAAUAGAGUAGACGCGUGAGAGUGCCGACGACGACGACGAGGGAGAGG
RNAcentral lists this ribosomal RNA (596 nucleotides) under uncultured bacterium. Its description in RNAcentral is "bacterial SSU rRNA". The stretch from base 1 to 520 matches the Rfam family "Bacterial small subunit ribosomal RNA", at positions 338 to 873 of the family's 1533-position model. The record is from RNAcentral.